This 479-nucleotide ribosomal RNA is filed under the name uncultured organism. RNAcentral describes it as "partial 16S ribosomal RNA". It matches the Rfam family "Bacterial small subunit ribosomal RNA", at positions 330 to 800 of the family's 1533-position model. The record is from RNAcentral.
CGUACACUCCUGCGGGAGGCAGCAGUGGGGAAUAUUGCACAAUGGGCGCAAGCCUGAUGCAGCCAUGCCGCGUGUAUGAAGAAGGCCUUCGGGUUGUAAAGUACUUUCAGCGGGGAGGAAGGCAAUACGGUUAAUAACCGUGUUGAUUGACGUUACCCGCAGAAGAAGCACCGGCUAACUCCGUGCCAGCAGCCGCGGUAAUACGGAGGGUGCAAGCGUUAAUCGGAAUUACUGGGCGUAAAGCGCACGCAGGCGGUCUGUCAAGUCGGAUGUGAAAUCCCCGGGCUCAACCUGGGAACUGCAUUCGAAACUGGCAGGCUUGAGUCUUGUAGAGGGGGGUAGAAUUCCAGGUGUAGCGGUGAAAUGCGUAGAGAUCUGGAGGAAUACCGGUGGCGAAGGCGGCCCCCUGGACAAAGACUGACGCUCAGGUGCGAAAGCGUGGGGAGCAAACAGGAUUAGAAACCCCAGUAGUCCCAUGA